This 612-nucleotide ribosomal RNA is filed under the name Triticum aestivum (bread wheat). RNAcentral's name for it is "partial small subunit ribosomal RNA". The record is from RNAcentral. Lineage: Eukaryota; Viridiplantae; Streptophyta; Magnoliopsida; Poales; Poaceae.
AAGAAGAGGAAAAGAGGGAAGGUUGUGAGGUCGGGAUGUCCGGCCCACCUUUACAUCACCCACACGGAUGCGUGGUGGAGAGUCAAAUGCUUCAACGACGACCACAACCACCCUCUAAUAAGAAAGCCGUCCUUGACAAAGUUCCUAUCAUCACAUAGGAACAUUCCAAAAGAUGAGCAGGACUUCUUGAAGAUAUUGCACGGAUGCAACAUAGAGACAGCCAGACAGAUGCAACUAAUGGAAUGGUUCUACGGGAAUCCUAAAGAUGUACCAUACACAACAAAGGACAUCGCAAACCAGCGAGCUAAAUUCCGGAUGGAGUACCGCCAUGCUGAUGUGGGGAGCACAAUCUCGUACUUCCAAGAUAUGAAGGCACAAGAUCCAGAUUUCUAUUGGAGAAUAAAGCUUGAUGAUGAGGACAGAGUGGAAAAUUUAUUCUGGAUAGAUGGUGCGUCGCGCAGGGCAUAUGCUAGAUACAAUGAUGUCAUCUCAUUUGACACAACAUACAUGACAAACAUGUACAAAAUGCCCUAUGCACCCUUCAUUGGCAUUAAUAAUCGGGCAGUCGAUCCAAUUUGGUUGUGGGUUUGUUCGAAACGAACUAUCUGGUAA